GGGGAUUUAGCUCAGUGGUAGAGCGCUUGCCUAGCAAGAAGGCCCUGGGUUCGGUCCCCAGCUCCG
This is a non-coding RNA of Rattus norvegicus (Norway rat), 66 nucleotides long. The record is from Rfam. Lineage: Eukaryota; Metazoa; Chordata; Mammalia; Rodentia; Muridae.